AUUGAACGCUGGCGGCAGGCCUAACACAUGCAAGUCGAACGGUAACAGGAAGAAGCUUGCUUCUUUGCUGACGAGUGGCGGACGGGUGAGUAUGUCUGGGAAACUGCCUGAUGGAGGGGGAUAACUACUGGAAACGGUAGCUAAUACCGCAUAACGUCGCAAGACCAAAGAGGGGGACCUUCGGGCCUCUUGCCAUCGGAUGUGCCCAGAUGGGAUUAGCUAGUAGGUGGGGUAACGGCUCACCUAGGCGACGAUCCCUAGCUGGUCUGAGAGGAUGACCAGCCACACUGGAACUGAGACACGGUCCAGGCUCCUACGGGAGGCAGCAGUGGGGAAUAUUGCACAAUGGGCGCAAGCCUGAUGCAGCCAUGCCGCGUGUAUGAAGAAGGCCUUCGGGUUGUAAAGUACUUUCAGCGGGGAGGAAGGGAGUAAAGUUAAUACCUUUACUCAUUGACGUUACCCGCAGAAGAAGCACCGGCUAACUCCGUG
Molecule: ribosomal RNA, 489 nt
Filed under: uncultured bacterium
Lineage: Bacteria
Description: partial 16S ribosomal RNA
Rfam family: Bacterial small subunit ribosomal RNA
Source: RNAcentral